RNAcentral lists this ribosomal RNA (406 nucleotides) under uncultured bacterium. Its description in RNAcentral is "partial 16S ribosomal RNA". It matches the Rfam family "Bacterial small subunit ribosomal RNA", at positions 29 to 526 of the family's 1533-position model. The record is from RNAcentral.
AUUGAACGCUGGCGGCAGGCCUAACACAUGCAAGUCGAACGAGGGGCGGACGGGUGAGUAAUGUCUGGGAAACUGCCUGAUGGAGGGGGAUAACUACUGGAACCGGUAGCUAAUACCGCAUAGCAUCAGAUGUGCGCAGAUGGGAUGAGCUAGUUGGUGGGGUAACGGCUCACAAAGGCGACGAUCACUAGCUGGUCUGAGAGGAGGACCGGCCACACGGGAACUGAGACACGGUCCAGCCUCCUACGGGAGGCAGCAGUGGGGAAUAUUCCGCAAUGGGCGAAAGCCUGAUGCAGCCAUGCCGCGUGUGUGAAGAAGGCCUUCGGGUUGUAAAGCUCUUUCAGCGGGGAGGCGGUACCCGCAGAGGAAGCACCGGCUAACUCCGUGCCAGCAGCCGCGGUAAUUC